This is an RNA transcript of Amblyraja radiata (thorny skate), 2286 nucleotides long. It is a transcript of the gene named lysophosphatidic acid receptor 6-like, with no coding region annotated. The record is from RefSeq and is a predicted model, not a curated record. The transcript is spliced from 3 exons. Lineage: Eukaryota; Metazoa; Chordata; Chondrichthyes; Rajiformes; Rajidae.
CCAAGGGGAAGGAAAUCGAGAGUUUCACACAGGGAGUGGGCGGAAUUUACUGAGUUGGGAAAUUUACUGAAGCAGGAAAUUAAAUCACGCCUAACUCUCCCCUUAAUGCCAGGAGUGACUCAGAUGGAAGUAGACUGUGACAAAGAGAGGAUUGCUUGUCGAGAGAGAGAGGGAAUUAUCAGGCAGACUUCAGAGAUUCAACGUGCAAAGUGCUGUGGAGUUGGACUGUGGACUACCAAGGCCACCGUUUCCCAGGAACCGGACUGAUCUUCAGAAGGGUGAAUUCUCCGAACAAGGACCAUUCAUUUGAACGUUGGAGGAAGAAGAUCGCCGGACAAAAGGCCGCUGCGGUCAGAGGGAAAUUCCAGGAACACUUUGGCUCAUUUUUCUCCAGGAGGCUCAGGGUGCUUGACUUUGACCCCACCCCCCACCUUCCCUAAAUGGCUACAGGUGCGCCCUGGACUGAGGGGACAAUGUCUUCCUUCUGGUCCCUCCCGACUUCUAACGCCAACCUCACAGGUGCCAACAGCACCCAAGGGUGUCUCUUGAGCGCCGACUUCCAGUACAUCAUGUUCCCGGUGGUUUACAGCCUGGUUUUUGUCCUGGGCACCACCUCCAACGCCGCCGCCCUCUGGUUCUUCUUCAGGACCAAGGAGACCCUCUCGCCAUCCGACGUCUUCAUGGUCAACCUGGCCGCGAUCGACCUCCUCUUCGCCUUGACCCUGCCGUUCAGGAUUGUCUACCACGCCCUGGGCAAUGAGUGGAUCUUCGGCGAGUGGGGCUGCAAGAUCACGGGCUCCCUGUUCUUCGCCAACCUCUACGGCAGUACCCUGUUCCUCACCUGCAUCUGCGUGGACCGCUACAUCGCAGUGGUCCACCCUCUCCGCUCACUUGUUCUCCGCCGCCCCCGAUACCGGGCGCUGAUCUGCCUCGCCGUCUGGCUGGUCCUCGCCGCCUGCAUCCUCUACCUGAUGCUCAAGGGGCCACUGACCAGCCACUUCCCCGACGGCAGGACAGCUUGCCUGGAGAAUUUCUCCAGCGGCUCCUGGAGUGGCCGUAUCUCAAGCAUCAGCAUCGUCGGGGCGGUGAUAGGCUUCUUCAUACCCUUGUUGGUCAUCGCCGUGUGCUACCCUCUCAUCGCCCGGCGUCUAUUGGAGCCGACGGCCGGCAACGCGGUCCACGCCGUGAAGCGGCGAGCACUGCGGACCGUGCUGGUGGUCCUCGGUGUUUUCCUAAUCUGCUUUGUGCCCUACCAUGUUGUCCAGUUGGUCCAUACCCUCCUGCGCCUAAACCCGGGCCCGGCGAGCUGCCGGCUCAUCCGCUUCACCUACUCGGCUCGACGGGUCACCAUGGCCCUGACCAGCCUCAACAGUUGCCUCGACCCCCUGAUCUACUCGCUGGGACGCCGGUCCUCACCGUCACCCCGUGCCUGCUGUUGUGGCCGCCGGCGCCGAUUCUCCCUCAACGUCACCUUCCGCAGCAAGGAGACCGCCCAGAGCAAGAGCUAGGGCCCCCAGACAGGGCUGCGUCUAGACAGUACCCAGUGUCCAGUAUCUAGACACUACCCAGAGCAAGGGCUAAGCCCCCAGACAGUGCUGCGUCUAGACAGCACCUGGAUCUUGUCCAGACACUACCCAGAGCAAGAGGAGUCCUCCAGACAAGGCUAUGUCUAGACACCACCCAGUGUCUAGACACCACCACAGCAAGGGAUAGACCCCAGACAGACUGUGUCUAGACAACACCCAGAGUCUAGUGUCUAGAUAGUACCCAGAGCAAGGGCUAGUCCAUCGGACAGGUCGUGUCUAGACAGCACCCAGAGUCUAGUGUAUAGACAGUGGGGACCCAGACAUGAUCUUGUGUAGUCAGAGGGAAUCCAGACUUGGUCACUGUCUUAGUGACCAGACUUGGCCACUGUCUUAGUGACCAAGAUGUUGCUGUGUCUAGACAGCACCUAGAGUCUAGUGUCUGGACAGUUGGAGCCCAGCCAGGAAUAUCUCUAGACAGUGGGAGCCCAGACAAGAAUGCGUCUAGACACUGACCAGAGCAAGUGGAGAAGCCCAGACAGGCCGUGUCUAGACUGUACCCAGAGUCUAGUGGGAGAAUGGGGGAAGGGGGAAACUGUGAAGGUUACCCAAAACAGGAGCGUGAACUUUGAAAAUAGUGCCAAAACAUGGCGUAUCUUGCAUGCGGGCUCAGCAGACUAUUUAUGUACAUUUGCUAAUCGAGGAUAAUAUGGUAAUACUCUACCGGCCUGUUUAUAAGAAAAUAAUUUUAUUUUGUGUUUAC